RNAcentral lists this long non-coding RNA (1474 nucleotides) under Sus scrofa (pig). RNAcentral's name for it is "lncRNA (ENSSSCG00015008411.1)". Lineage: Eukaryota; Metazoa; Chordata; Mammalia; Artiodactyla; Suidae. The record is from RNAcentral.
CACUAUAACAGGGAGCUUUAACAAGCGUUUUCUCUGUGCUGGGCAUCGGGCUUGUUUAUGCCUCACUGUGUCAUACAGAACAGGCCUACUGGCGGAAGCCAGCCAAAGUCCCUCAAGGGGCAGGAGGGAGAAAGGUCCCGACUGGGCUCCGAAGUCCUGAUGAGGGGCAGGCCUCUGUCCUUGACUGUGAGUACUGGGGGAAAAGGACAACGGGACCUUUGCUUGUUAGGUAAAGUCCAUCUCGCAGGGGUUGCUAUGCCCCUGAGUAUGUGAGAUAAAGUCCACAGGAUUUGUCACUAUCCUGUUACCUCUGAACAUGUUCCCUGGCAGAAUUCUAGGCCUGUCUAGCUCUACUUCUCUGAACAACUUUGAAUCUCUCUAUUCAUUCCUUCCCUCCAAGGAUGCAUCAAACUGAAUUAUCGGUGUCAGGAGAGAAAAAAAAAAAAAAACCUCUCAUGGAGCUUACAUUCUUUUGAAAUCAUACAGCCCCCAAAGGUAUGUGAUUUGUCAGGUGUUGGUAACUGCUGUGAUUAAAAUUAAAUCAGAAUUGUCAAAUAGAGAGGAGGGGGCCUAUCUAGAAAGAGCAGUCAGGGAAGGUCUUUCUAAGAUUGUGACAUUUGAGCGGAAACCUAGAGGAGAGGAACAUCUGAAAGAGAUGCAUGCCCCCCCCCUCCCCCGAGUUCGGUACGGGUCAGUGGAAAAGUUCCGGGGUGUAACUCAGUCUGUCAUGUGUGAGAAGGUGAGGAGGCUGAUUUGGCUGGCUCAGCAUGAUGGAGGGAGGGGUAGGAGAUCUGGUGAAGGGGUAAUGAGGGCCAGGUCCUGUAGAGCCUUCUGGGCCAUGGUGAGGACUUUGUCUUGAGCCUCCAGAGGCCUUUUAGCAGAGAAUUCCCGUGUGUCUCUCUGAGGCCAGAGGCCCAAGUCGCCCCCUUGAGGAGGUGGAGCUCUUGGUUUACCCCAAAGAAGAGCCCCCUCCCCAGCCUCUCUGGGGAAGCUGAACAUGCUUUCCUGGAAGAUUAUGGAGACUCAAGGGGAAUCCCCCCAACUGCUCCCCAUGAAUAUCCAUGUCCAAAGAUGAUAUGCUCAUGUGGGGAAAAGCAAGGGCUCUCAUGGUGUGAGCGAGGUCACACCCUGUCCUGUACAAAAGCACAGGAGGGAAACGAAUAGAGAUUGGAACAGAGAGUAGAAGAAGAAUAAAUAUAAUCAAUGAAACCGAAUGUUGUUUCUUUGAAAAGAGCAGUACGAAUUCAUAAAAUUGUACCCAGAGAGACACAGAAAAUGAUAAAUCCUGCCUCAUAGCACAGGGUCCUAUAUCUAGUCACUUGUGAUGGAACAUGAUGGAGGAUAAUUUGGGAAAAGAAUACACACACACACACACACACACACACACACACACACACACACACUUCUGGGUCAGUUUGCUGUACAGCAGAAAUUGACAGAACAGUAUAAAUCAUUACAAUAGAAAAAAUAAAAA